This 299-nucleotide ribosomal RNA is filed under the name uncultured sulfate-reducing bacterium. Its description in RNAcentral is "partial 16S ribosomal RNA". The record is from RNAcentral.
GAGAAAANGUUUNNANCGCANGGAAAGUNGACCCNNNCAUCGCCACACAGGGACNACCAUCUACGUAUUACUUCCCGAAACUUUAACCUUGCGCGGCCAAGGGCGGGGUGGUCCUGGGCCUGCUGCCUUAACAUGGUGCGGCGCCGGCCACUGCUCCCGAAUAUCGGCCAAUCCUGGGCAUCCACCGGCACCACCGCCCCAGGAUCCAACCACACAGGGGGUUGGCCAACGAUGUGCGAACAUCCCCCAUUUUGAUCGCCUCAAUGCCCGACCGGCGCUAUCCGCCCCGACAUGAAAAA